Molecule: ribosomal RNA, 495 nt
Filed under: uncultured bacterium
Lineage: Bacteria
Description: bacterial SSU rRNA
Rfam family: Bacterial small subunit ribosomal RNA
Source: RNAcentral
CUUAAGAAAUUGGCGGAGGGGCGCACAAGCGGUGGAGCAUGUGGUUUAAUUUGAUGCAACGCGAAGAACCUUACCUACUCUUGACAUCCAGAGAACUUUCCAGAGAUGGAUUGGUGCCUUCGGGAACUCUGAGACAGGUGCUGCAUGGCUGUCGUCAGCUCGUGUUGUGAAAUGUUGGGUUAAGUCCCGCAACGAGCGCAACCCUUAUCCUUUGUUGCCAGCGGUUCGGCCGGGAACUCAAAGGAGACUGCCAGUGAUAAACUGGAGGAAGGUGGGGAUGACGUCAAGUCAUCAUGGCCCUUACGAGUAGGGCUACACACGUGCUACAAUGGCGUAUACAAAGAGAAGCGACCUCGCGAGAGCAAGCGGACCUCAUAAAGUACGUCGUAGUCCGGAUUGGAGUCUGCAACUCGACUCCAUGAAGUCGGAAUCGCUAGUAAUCGUAGAUCAGAAUGCUACGGUGAAUACGUUCCCGCCUCUUGCACACACCGCCCG